AAACUGCGAUAAGUAGUGUGAAUUGCAUUUAGUUAAUCAUCGAAUCUUUGAACGCACCUUGCACUCACUGGUAUUCCGGUGAGUACGCCUGUUUCAGUAUCAUUGAAAACACACAAUCAAAACAUUUUCUUUGGUUUGAUUGGCUUUGGGUCUAUCAAAAAGUUUGGCUUGUUUCUUACAAGCCAAGCGGCCUGAAAUAUAUUGUCUGGCUAAUUGCAUCGUUGAUGAUCGCUAUUAGACUUUGGCUUUUUUAAAUGAACUGGAGGUUGAUUAACCAGUUUUAGCUUUAGUCAAAUGGUCAUUGUAAAAAAAAUCUCGAUCUUGGCUAGGUGUUUAUAGCCGAAAAUUUUUUUUUGGCUAUAACCGAAACCAAUAUAAUCACAUUUAGUUAUCGAUCUGAAAUCAGGUGGGACUACCCGCUGAACUUAAGC
This 431-nucleotide unclassified non-coding RNA is filed under the name plant metagenome. RNAcentral's name for it is "partial contains 5.8S ribosomal RNA, internal transcribed spacer 2, and large subunit ribosomal RNA". The stretch from base 1 to 102 matches the Rfam family "5.8S ribosomal RNA", at positions 50 to 154 of the family's 154-position model. The record is from RNAcentral.